UGGGGGUCCUGUAGGAGAUCUUGCGGACCUGUGCAGUGGGCCGUCGGAAAGGCAAGCCUGACCCUUUCAAGAGAGGUCAGGCCUGGAGACCAAGGGCACUGAAAGAGAACACAGGGCUGAUUCCUUGACCUUUUGCAGUUCAUAGUCUAGUGAGGAAUACGAAUAAUUACAAAGAUCCUAGCUCAGAGGAUGGACCAGGCUUCAGAUGCACAAGACUUCUUUGGAAUGUUCAUGGAAACUUUAUUUACUCAUUGGUGCUUUCUUUGGUUUCUAGGAAAGACUCUUUUACAGCCCUCAGCACUGUUAUUGCGUGAACUGGCUCAGCAUGGCCGGCCCAGUGAAGGACGCCAGUGGUAGUAACCGGGGAAGAGGGAUCCCCUGGCUCUUCUUACCAAACUUCUUCGAUCGUUUGGAGUGGUUUGGCCAUCAGUUAGUCAGGAAGAGGCCAGAAGGACACGUGCUGAUAAUGCUUCAAGAAAGUUAAACUUUAGGAAAAACUCGACCGAAGUAAAAAUAGCUAUGUAGUCAGUGACCAAAGCUACUUGGAUGGUCCUGUUGAUUGCUCUUG
Equus caballus (horse) is the source of this 568-nucleotide long non-coding RNA. Lineage: Eukaryota; Metazoa; Chordata; Mammalia; Perissodactyla; Equidae. The record is from Ensembl.